GGCGAACUUCUGGAGGAGGCUCUCCACCAUGCGCUGCGUCGCCGGCGUUUCGGGCGUAUCGAUGGCCCCCCGGAUUGCUCCGGCAUCGGUGGGCAAAGGGAGGGCGACGUCGGCGAGGUGAAGCAGCAACCGACGCUCCAAGGCCGGGUCGGGGGCCAAUUCCGGACCCCCCCCAUCCGUAGAGGGGUUGGCAGAGCCCCCCCCGACCCCCCCAGGUGUGGGGAUGGAGCUUCCCACGGAACCGGGGGGGAGGAAAGGGGGUGGGUGGGUGGGGAGGGGAGGGGGGG
This 287-nucleotide long non-coding RNA is filed under the name Gallus gallus (chicken). Lineage: Eukaryota; Metazoa; Chordata; Aves; Galliformes; Phasianidae. The record is from RNAcentral.